UACGAGGGGGGCGAGCGUUGUUCGGAAUUAUUGGACGUAAAGGGUGCGUAGGCGGUUUGUCGCGUCUGCUGUGAAAACCCGAGGCUCAACCUCGGGCCUGCAGUGGGUACGGGCAGACUAGAGUGCGGUAGGGGAGAUUGGAAUUCCUGGUGUAGCGGUGGAAUGCGCAGAUAUCAGGAGGAACACCAAUGGCGAAGGCAGAUCUCUGGGCCGUAACUGACGCUGAGGAGCGAAAGCAUGGGGAGCGAACAGG
This 253-nucleotide ribosomal RNA is filed under the name uncultured bacterium. Its description in RNAcentral is "partial 16S ribosomal RNA". It matches the Rfam family "Bacterial small subunit ribosomal RNA", at positions 524 to 776 of the family's 1533-position model. The record is from RNAcentral.